GCCUGGAGGGGGCAGAAGCAAACAGAAGACAAUCGCACCUGAUACUGCACCCACUAGGAUUUGGAAAACCCAUAUUGGCUGUAUUACGAGGACCUCGCUCGUCUUCCAUCCUACCUAUCUUGAGAAGCCCAGCAUCGCUUCGACCAUCCUCCCAAAAGACUACAGCUCAAGACUGCGAUACAGUGACGAUCAACAGCCAGCUACUGUAUCAUCGUCAUUAUCAGCAUCAUCACCUCCAUCAUCACUACCAUCACCAUCACCAUCGUUAUCAAGAAGGAAUGGAUCACCCGGUAAUUACCCGCAGAGUUGUUAACGGUUAACAUGAUUCACCCCAACUACCCCUGUGGGAGGGGGUGAGGCCCCCCUCGUGGGAUGAGGAGCCGGCGUGGUCAGUCGGUGCUGGGCGCUCGUCUGGUGACGACCUAAGAUCCAUAGGUCUUAAGAACUAUUCCAGCAGUUGGUAAGAGUCGUUCGUCUGGUAAAAUAACUUUGUAUUUUGUUUAUAAAAAGUUAUUUAUUUAUAUUUUCUCUUUAUUUUUGUUUUUACUUUUUGUUUCUCUAUUUUUACGGGUACAAGGCAGAUGUAUUGCAGGUGUUAAAUUUGUGUUUGGUUUAUUAAAUUAACAUUUUCUUUAAUUUUGGGAUUUAACGUUAAUCCUGUUUACUAAUAGCACAUUGACUUAAAUGCAACUUUUUGGUUUUAUGUUGUGUUUAGCAGUCCAUGAACUGGGCAUCGACUCGGUGCCCUAAGUAACGUAAGUCAACAUUUCCCAUUCAUUAGUCGUAAUGGCUUGCAGCUUUCUCCGAUUAGUUCCUUUCCCACAGUCAACCUCUCCCACAGUCAACCUCUCCCACAGUCAACCUCUCCCACAGUCAACCUCUCCCACAGUCAACCUCUCCCACAGUCAACCUCUCCCACAGUCAGUGCUGUUGAAAGUUUCUCCACUCCUGUUCAAAGUUUUCCUCAGGAGCUACAGACUUAAAUCAUAAACACAUUAGAUUCCUGUUCGGGAGAAGUAUUCCGGUACUCGUUAUGUGCACUGAAAGCUUACCUUAAGCUUUAUCUAUAAUCAUGACUAAAGCGUAAUUACUGGAUGUUCUAUAAGCUAUUGUUGGGAGUCUGAAAACACCUAACAGAGGUUGACAGUAUUUAAGUCCUACACCAGUCCAAACACAAGUUUGUUACACGCGCCCCACUUGGAGUUGAAUCUAAAACCAGAUGAAGCCUCAAACUUACUCUUUAACGUUUACUGAUGGGUGAAGCCAACCCUCUGUUACUCUGGACUGAUCAUCUCA
Molecule: non-coding RNA, 1296 nt
Organism: Procambarus clarkii (red swamp crayfish)
Lineage: Eukaryota; Metazoa; Arthropoda; Malacostraca; Decapoda; Cambaridae
Source: RefSeq, a predicted model, not a curated record